UACAGAGGUCUCGAGCGUUGUUCGGAUUCAUUGGGCGUAAAGGGCGCGUAGGCGGCGGGGUAAGUCUGGUGUGAAAUCUCGGAGCUCAACCCCGAAACUGCACUGGAUACUGCCUUGCUCGAGUACUGGAGAGGAGAUUGGAAUUUACGGUGUAGCAGUGAAAUGCGUAGAUAUCGUAAGGAAGACCAGUGGCGAAGGCGAAUCUCUGGACAGUUACUGACACUGAGGCACGAAGGCCAGGGGAGCAAACGGG
This 253-nucleotide ribosomal RNA is filed under the name uncultured bacterium. RNAcentral describes it as "partial 16S ribosomal RNA". It matches the Rfam family "Bacterial small subunit ribosomal RNA", at positions 524 to 776 of the family's 1533-position model. The record is from RNAcentral.